CCUACGGGAGGCAGCAGUGGGGAAUUUUGGACAAUGGACGCAAGUCUGAUCCAGCCAUGCCGCGUGCGGGAAGAAGGCCUUCGGGUUGUAAACCGCUUUUGUCAGGGAAGAAACGGGUUUCUCUAAUACAGAGACCUAAUGACGGUACCUGAAGAAUAAGCACCGGCUAACUACGUGCCAGCAGCCGCGGUAAUACGUAGGGUGCAAGCGUUAAUCGGAAUUACUGGGCGUAAAGCGUGCGCAGGCGGUUAUGCAAGACAGAGGUGAAAUCCCCGGGCUCAACCUGGGAACUGCCUUUGUGACUGCAUAGCUAGAGUACGGUAGAGGGGGAUGGAAUUCCGCGUGUAGCAGUGAAAUGCGUAGAUAUGCGGAGGAACACCGAUGGCGAAGGCAAUCCCCUGGACCUGUACUGACGCUCAUGCACGAAAGCGUGGGGAGCAAACAGGAUUAGAUACCCUGGUAGUCCACGCCCUAAACCGAUGUCAACUGGUUGUUGGGAGGGUUUCGUUCUCAGUAACGAAGCUAACGCGUGAAGUUGACCGCCUGGGGAGUACGGCCGCAAGGUUGAAACGUCAAGGAAUUGACGGCUGAGACGNGCGAGACGACGACGAGGGAGAGG
This 619-nucleotide ribosomal RNA is filed under the name uncultured bacterium. RNAcentral describes it as "bacterial SSU rRNA". It matches the Rfam family "Bacterial small subunit ribosomal RNA", at positions 338 to 947 of the family's 1533-position model. The record is from RNAcentral.